Long non-coding RNA from Ziziphus jujuba (common jujube), 941 nucleotides. RefSeq lists it as uncharacterized. The record is from RefSeq and is a predicted model, not a curated record. NCBI's taxonomy places the organism in Eukaryota, Viridiplantae, Streptophyta, Magnoliopsida, Rosales, Rhamnaceae. The transcript has 2 exons.
UGAAUUAUCUAAAUCAUACAUUUUGACAAUAACUGGAGCAGUUUUUUUUUUUUUUUUUUCCCUUUUUUUGUGUGUGUUUAAUCUCAUAUUUCAUACAACAAUUUCUCAAAAACUUUCAGCACAUCAGAUUGCAAGGCAAUGGCCAUCCAUGAGCUCCCAGUAUUAGUUGGGCUUGGUAUAAUAUUUGCAUGACCAGAUUCGGACUCUUGAAAGCCUGAGCCCCAGGAGCAAGGCCAGAAUAUCAGCCUGAAGCUCAAGAAAAUCUAUGGUCGAUCACAAAUAAGCAUCGUCAAUCUGGUUCGUAAACCAGAUUGGCAACAUACCGCGUUGGUUUGGGUAGAUGAUGACCAGCCGAAAGCGAUAGGUGAGGUGUCAAAAAUCCCAUUGCCACGAUAACCAAGUGGAGCAUUCAGUCGCAAUCUGGACCUUGUAUCUACGGGGACGUAUAAUCUGGAAGAAAUUUUAAUUGCACUACGGAAAAAUCUUUACACGGUUUCAUAAUUUUUAUAUUUUAAUAAUCUCCUUAUUGAAUGUUUUUUAUUUUUUAUUUUUUUAGAGGAAUUUUAUCGAAAUCUCUCUCUACCUGUCUUCCUCUUCUAUGCUUCAUUUUCAUUGUCAGAAUUUUAAUAAAUGGCAUCCUCGGCAAGCCAUGGUGAUCUUCUCCUGUGGGGCUUCUUACUCGGAUGAGUGGAGGAAAAAAGCUUUUGACCCGAGAGUAAAAUUGGUUUGAUCCAAUAUUAUAAUAGCAUUGCAAUCUCUCUCUCACAUUUCUCUCGAUUCCACGACUCACAGCUUGCACGAAGCAACUUUGGUCUCUGUUUGAUUUUUUUUUUUUAAAUUUAUUAUGGACAUCUGGUUAUGAAUAUUGAAGCAUUGUGAAAUAAAUAAGUAAUGAAUUUAAUGUGAUGCCCAGUGGAAUAUGUUCGAUUUUGAUUCGUGAA